GUUCCUAUAGCGCAAUGGAUAGCGCGUUGGACUUAAAAUCCGAAGGUCGUGGGCUCCAAUCCCGCUUGGGAUG
Non-coding RNA from Trichonephila inaurata madagascariensis, 73 nucleotides. Lineage: Eukaryota; Metazoa; Arthropoda; Arachnida; Araneae; Nephilidae. The record is from the annotation of a GenBank genome assembly.